GACGAACCGAGCGAACGUUGUUCGGAACAACUGGGCUUAAAGGGCGCGUAGGCGGGCUGUCAAAUCUGGGGUGAAAUCCCGCGGCUCAACCGCGGAACCGCCUCGGAUACUGACGGCCUCGAGGGGGGUAGGGGCGAGCGGAACUAAUGGUGGAGCGGUGAAGUGCGUUGAUAUCAUUAGGAACUCCGGUGGCGAAGGCGGCUCGCUGGACCUCUUCUGACGCUGAGGCGCGAAAGCUAGGGGAGCAAACGGG
Molecule: ribosomal RNA, 253 nt
Filed under: uncultured bacterium
Lineage: Bacteria
Description: partial 16S ribosomal RNA
Rfam family: Bacterial small subunit ribosomal RNA
Source: RNAcentral